GCCCGGAUGGCGAAAUUGGCAGACGCGCAUGAUUCAGGUUCAUGUGUCCUUUUGGACAUGCAGGUUCGAUUCCUGUUCCGGGCA
Molecule: transfer RNA, 84 nt
Filed under: Bacteroidales bacterium
Lineage: Bacteria; Pseudomonadati; Bacteroidota; Bacteroidia; Bacteroidales
Also listed under: 2 other names
Description: tRNA-Leu
Rfam family: tRNA
About the family: Transfer RNA (tRNA) molecules are approximately 80 nucleotides in length. Their secondary structure includes four short double-helical elements and three loops (D, anti-codon, and T loops).
Source: RNAcentral